Molecule: long non-coding RNA, 603 nt
Filed under: Homo sapiens (human)
Lineage: Eukaryota; Metazoa; Chordata; Mammalia; Primates; Hominidae
Description: novel transcript
Source: RNAcentral
UUUCAGUUGCUCCCGGCGGAGCAGGGGCAUGCAGCUCAGCGGCCACCGAGCCUCUGGGGCUCGCCCGGCCGCUCCUCGCGCUCCCAGACGCCUGUGACGCCUGUUGGGGCCAAGCUGCUGCCGUUCCCUCCGCAGACAGACGCGCCGCGCCAGCCUCACGAGCCCUGCACCAACUUCUGCCCGACAAGCCCAACUUCUGCGCCGGGUUCGGACUUGCGGAGCCGGAACGGCGCACCGCGCGCAGCCCGGGCGGCGGCCAGGGCGGAUCAGCCUCGCCGAGAUGUCCUCGCGACUGUGGCUCUGGUGCUUCUGCCUGGGCGGUUGCCGGCUGGCCGCCAGGAAGCGCCCUACAGCUCCGGCUGGGCAUGCCAAGUGUUUGUGAAGAACAGCAAGUGACUGUGGUUGGACUUGCACACCCAUGUGUUUGGGCAUUCACACACAUUGUCAAGCUCUGCAAACAAGGCUGUACUGGCUCAAGUUGGUAUGUGAGCUAUGAAAGAAGGUCCUCUUUUCCGUCUUCUCAUUCCUGUGGAUCUGUCCUGUAGCCUUUCCACGCUAUCCUCAGGCUCAUCUGUUUUCUGAAGAUGGGAAAAGCCCUUUGGA